Long non-coding RNA from Lotus japonicus, 652 nucleotides. RefSeq lists it as uncharacterized. The record is from RefSeq and is a predicted model, not a curated record. NCBI's taxonomy places the organism in Eukaryota, Viridiplantae, Streptophyta, Magnoliopsida, Fabales, Fabaceae. The transcript is spliced from 3 exons.
AAGUUCGAAUUGCGAGAGUGGAGAUGAGGAUAACGAGAUUGUUAAAGACAAGGGGCAAGAAAUCCUGAUUUUCGCCUGUGCUGUUGUUCUAUGAAGCUCCUUAGAUGCAGCUCUUCAUAAUUUCUGGGUAACCUGCACAAGAGCUAAGCGAAACGCAUCUCUAAAAGUGAGAUCAAUUUCUUCCUGCUUUCAAUGGCAUUAUUGCAGCUUUGGUUGACAUUGCUAUCCUUUUCGAAGCUUAUACAUGGACCAUAGUCUUCAAGAUGAGGUAGUCAAUGGAAAAGAUGAUGGUAAUGGCCUAAUGGGUAUGGUUCUUAGCCACCACAGGUGUUUAGUUGGUGAAAAGAUAGCUUGAAGGGGAAGAAGAUUGGAGCAUGUUUUUAGCUGAAUAUAUAAUUGUAAAUAGAGGUGGAUGAUGGGUAGUUCCCUGAAGAUUCUGAUGCAGGAAAUGAUGUGAACAUGUUCUGAGGUUAUUGCCCAAGGGGCCAAACUUGGUUAGUAGGACAAAAGAAUGAUGUGUUAGCUUUUGGAAACUUUAGAGUUUGGACGUAUGUUUGAUUAAUUACUUGCUUUUCAACACAUUUGUAGAUUGUAGUGCUAUAUUGUAUUUUAAGCUCAAUUUGAUAGUUGAUUUACUGCCCACAUUUCUAAA